CCCAAAUGCAGUAGACACGGCAGUUAUCCGUGCAGGAGGGGCAGAGGAUGUACGGGAGAGGCCACGGUGGGCCCUGUGCGAUCAAACCCACACGACAGCACAUUCUAUGAGGACGGGGGAGCAGGCAGCCGCCUGGUGGUGCAAGGAGAGGGGACCAUGCAGAGGCAGCAGUGCCCAGCCAGGACUGGAGACACUCAUCGAGGGGGCCUCGGGCUCCAGUGGACAUACAUCCUUCAACAAACCUUUGAUUAAGCUGGUGGUGGCCACGUGACCUCCGUGGGCAGCCGGCCGGCCGUCCAGACUUCUCGUUCUGUGAGAAAAAUAAAAAGGUGGCCAACGGUCAAGUCUUCCUUGCUCGCUGCUGCAGCUGGACAUGUUCCCAACAGAUUCAGGGGUCAAGGGCGGUCCCUGAGCCCAGAGACAGCAGGGGGCUGGAGAGUUACCCAAAGUACUGGAGAGGUGGGGGCCAGCAAGGUGGGUGGGUGCUGACCCCGGCUUGGAGGCCGGGGGGGGCAGGGGUGGACAGGGCACCCACGGGCCUCUCUGCGGGGGUCGGAAGGAGGGGGUCGUGCUGGGGCGGCUGGAUCUGACCACCUAGUGUCCAUGGUACACGCAGCACCCUAGGAGGGAAGCGUCUGUAAAAGCCUGAGUGUUUUGAUCUGGGAAAACAGCUCAAAUUGUUGGUUUAUGAGGACUGGAACUUCCCAACAGCCAGGCCAGGAAAGUCCUUAUAGCAACAGAACACCACACCCCACAGGUCCCCUCCCCUCCCAGGAUUCUGUGUGUACUGAACACGUACGGAUCUCAAACCUUCAGCCAGCUCUCUUGCACAUUCUCCCCUGAACCUCUCCCAUAAAGCGCUAGACAUCCAUCUCGGGGCUGAGAGGUCAGUUGUUAAGGCUCGAGACCGCUACCUGCCCCCCGCGGUCGACACCCGAAAUAAAUCUCUCCUUUUCUCUCUUCCAAA
Long non-coding RNA from Ailuropoda melanoleuca (giant panda), 967 nucleotides. RefSeq lists it as uncharacterized. The record is from RefSeq and is a predicted model, not a curated record. The transcript is spliced from 2 exons. Lineage: Eukaryota; Metazoa; Chordata; Mammalia; Carnivora; Ursidae.